RNAcentral lists this ribosomal RNA (275 nucleotides) under Boophis cf. boehmei PSG-2010. RNAcentral's name for it is "partial 16S ribosomal RNA". The record is from RNAcentral. Lineage: Eukaryota; Metazoa; Chordata; Amphibia; Anura; Mantellidae.
UCUCCCCGUGAAGAAGCGGGAAUAAAUAUAUAAGACGAGAAGACGCCAUGGAGCUUUAAACCUGGCGACACCCACCUAUUCUAUACCGCAUUAUUUACCCGGCCCCUGGCUGCUCAGUUUUAGGUUGGGGUGACCACGGAGUAUAAAAAAACCUCCGUGAAAGAAGGGAUGACUUCCCUUACGUAAAAACUACCCUUCCGAAAACUAAUAACUUAUUUUUUAAUGAUCCUAUUAUCGAUCAACUAACCUUGUUACCCUGGGGAUAAGAGCGCAUU